UGACCAUAACGAUAAAGAAAGUUGAUCUGCGAGGACCGAGAAACUUCGGCCAGCAGAAACACACGUCUAAUUUUAACUAAAUCUCACUUCUUCAUAUUAACAUUUUAGCCAUAAGAGAGGAUGACUGAUGCCUUUUUGGGAUGCGAGGUGUCGGUGGAGGUGGGCGGAGGACUGGGGUUCUAUCAAGGCCGAGUUGUCUCCGUCAACUCACAGAAGCAGACGUUAACCAUCACCCGUGUCAUACACAAUGGUCGUCCAGAUUCCCUUUCCGAGGUCACAAUAAGUGCUUGCGACAUCAAGGACUUGAAGAUCAUUGCACGCCCAAAUGAGUCUGUGCCUCAAGUGCAAAAUCCUGAGGCAAAAUCCAGCAUGAGGUAUUCUGCCCAACGUCAGGCACAGCAGUCAUUCCAGAAGAUACAUGAUGGGCAGGAACAGCUUGUUCCGAAGCAGCAACAGCAACAAGUUGGAUUGAAUGCGGGAGUAGAGGCCCAGCAGCAAGCGAAACGGAAGCCUCGCACGUCUGUAGGAGAAACCUUGGCCCAUGGUACGCAGUCUUCAACGUCUAGGGACCAAGGAAAUGACUGGCAGCGUCCGUACCAAGCUCCCUACACGUGCCAUGAGUACAGCUCUCCACGGCGGAACGACAAGUACGGCAAUGACUCCUCCAGGACUCCAGGCAAGAGGGACCGCAGGCGCAACAGGGACGAGACCACCUUCGGCACCCCCAUUGAUGACGACAUGCUCAGCACGGAGUUUGACUUUGAGAAGAAUCUGGCCCUCUUUGACAAGCAGGCUGUGAUUGAAGAAAUACAGAGUCUAAAGCCAGACGUGGUUCGUCAGGCAGACCGGUACACAGAGAAGAAAUAUAGGUGCGAUGAAAAUGUGUUGCCUUCUAAAGCACCAGCAAAGAAGCAGAUAACUGUGCCUACUUCAGGAGCUGCAGAAGUUAUCUAUGCAAAUGAUUGUGGACUGCUGGUACCUUCUGUGAGUAGUGAAUUGCGGGCAGAACUGUUAUCUACAGCCAAUCAACACGGUCUCACUCACUCACGUCAGCUGGAGAUCAUUGGACGAGCAGCAACAGAGGUUAUUCUCUCUCUGAGUGGAGGCAAUCACAGGCUAGGACCAGGCAACAGCCACCAGCCACCUGUUGUGGUAGUUCUGUGCGGCUGUCACGUGCAAGGAGCUGCGGGAGUAAAUGCUGCCAGACAGCUAGAGAGCCAUGGAGUCAGGACUGUUGUAGUGACACCACAGCUGCCAACUUCACCUCCCCCAUCCCUGCUCCUCACCCAUGAGUUGCAACUGUAUGCCCUCACCUCAGGACGCACAGCCUCUGACCCUGGGGGCAUUCCUGCUACUGUUGAUCUGAUUGUGGAUGCCAGACUGGACCAUAGUGGGCAAGCAGGAGAGGGCAGCUCUGGGCACACUUGGCUCACUGUAACAACAAGGUGGGCAUCAAAUUCCCGAGCUCCAAUUCUUGCCCUCGACCCACCCAGUGACUUAGCUGCCAUCCCCUCCACCCAGCCACCCCUGCUGGCUCGGGUCUUACUGUGUCCAUCCUUACCUCUCGCAUAUACUCCAGCAAGGGGCAAAGUGUACCUCAUAAAUGUACCCAUACCCCAGCAAACAUUCAAUGCUGUGGGAAUUAAGUAUGUUUCACCAUUUGGAGCCAAGUUGGUUAUUCCAUUGCACCCAUAUGAGUAAGUGGAACACGUCCUUUACGGUUGGUAUGAUGAGCAUCUAAAUAUGUGUCGCCUAUUCUAGUAACUGGAUAUUUCUUGAAGGAAGUGAUCUCGUAAAGGGUUGUUUUUAGUUUGAUACUGUCAUUAUCUUGCUAGGCUGUCCAUACUGCUAGGAGCAAACUCUGUUAUUAUUCACUGAUAUAACAUUUAAUGUAGGAAAAUGGCCCUUUGUCGUAUUUCAACUUGAAAAUAUUUUACACUCAAGUGGUGAUAUUUUUCCUUUUAUUUCAUGACAAACUUUUUUCUUCAAAGAUACCAAUUUGAAUAUGCAUUAUUCUUUAACAUUAUGUAGCAUUGGUCUUCCUUUGUGGAAUAUAUAAUAUUGGGUGUCUUUUGCACAUUUACGUUAUACUAUAUGAAAAAAUGUAUUUUUCUAAGAGAAAACUAAUUUUUUGAAUCAGUAUAUGUGCAUUGCUGUUAUGAUAAAAAAUAUAUUCCAUAAAUAUUUAUUAUGUAAUCUUAAAGGCCUAAUAUAAACUUUAGGAUGUGUUUCAGCCCAGUGAGUGCUGUCUGUUUUGGAUUGGCAUCCAAAUGUAGUAUGUAAUUUACCAAUUUAGAUACUAUUGAGACAUGUAUUAGCAUUGCUGCUGCAGGGAGUGUAUUAUCAGCAAUGUUAUCUGUAAAAAAUAUAUAUAUAUUGUUAACCCGUUAACGACGGAUGACGUGUUUUUUCGUCAUACAUGACGCAGGAGCUCUUGCCUGACAAUGGGCGUCAUGAUCGUUGGGGAUUUUGGAUCACUGUUAUUUUAUUGUGCUAUGAGUAAUGAGUGAGUGAUGCUGAAAAUUGCAGUCUUAUAAUAAUUAUAACUGCCGUAAUAUUAAGCAAAGUGGGUUUCAACUCGCUUCCAAAACCUAGAUGGCACCACUUUUUUCUAGCAUGAGCAGGAGAGAGAGCCUUGAAUGGCAUCUACGGUCUCUAGCAAGCACUAUCUCUAUAGAGAUAGUUGGUGACAUCUUGCUCUAAAGUACCGCAGAAGGUGACUCACAUGCCCAAUGCCUACUAUGUGCCCCUGUGCCAGUAGAGAUGCCUUUUAUUGUGGCACUUACUGUCUAAAUCACAAGUUUCCUUCCUCUUCCCUACCUCUUCAUUUUGGAUGGUUAUAAGUUUUGUGUUUGUUCGUGACAGCACACAAAUACAAAAAAAAAAAGUUGCUUUUUGUCCCCCCCCCCAUAAAACAGUAAUACUUCUUUUACAUUGAGAAUAAAGAAAAAAAAUGAGUUGAUAUGGACCCUGAGCUACAGUUUUAGUCAACUGCAGAAUUGAUGGAGCCUGUGAUAUGACAGAUAUAAAUUUCUAAAAACAGUAAAACACACAAAAAAACAAAACAAAAAUGUCUCUAGCUCUUCAAUGAGUGACUAAAAGGGAGUGGGAAAAAUCAAAUUAUGUUGCAGAAGCUGGCUCGAUCAGAAGUAAAACUCAUCCUGGAGCCUGUGUAAGCAAAUCUAUCCCCUUUUGGCAACGGGUUAAAAGAGGAAUACCUCUACCUAUUCAGGUAGUUAAUAAACAUUCAGGAAGAAUAGUCUAUGGGGAUUUUUAAUUUUUAAUUUAUUUUUUAUUUACCCAUAUGGUCUGUGAUAAAGAUGUAUACAGAAGUGCUUUCAUUUCAAACAUUUGAAAUACUGUAUGUUUCCUGAGUUUCUCAUUAGGAAGCAGAGAUUAUUAGUAAACAUCUCCUUCAUCUUUAACAAAUACCCGAGAUUAUUGUAAAUGUGAUAGCGAGCAUGAUGCUGGAGCCGAUAACAGCAAAUUUUAAACAUUUCUUUUAUCUCCUUGAUGAUAAGAUAAAAAAGCUGAGUGUAUAAUUUGUAGUACUUAAAUAUACAUAUACUACACAGAGCCAUAUAACUAGUUCAUUAUGAGAUACAGGAUAUAGGCGCUUGUAAUAGCAAAGGAACUUGAUAUUAUUUUUAGAAGAACACCCCUUUCAGGCUUUGUUUUCAGUAUGGAAAUAUCAGAUGAUAUACAAUAUAUUAAAUAAAAGAACCUUGUUUCUAGUGGUUCAGGUGAGCUAUAAUUAAAAAAAAAAAUAGAAGAGAGAAUGAUAUAGAAAGUGUUGAAGAUAGAAAAUUUAAGAAAAGAAAGAAAACAUCUUUGAAAAUAUAUUUUUUUCCAAAUGUGUUGUAAUAGUUAUGUUCUACAAAAAUCAAACAAAAACAAAACAGAGCAUUAUAUUGUAAAACUGCACUCUGUUAAGGGUAAUUUUACUUUCAGCACUGAACUCGUGUUUAUAUAAAUAUCAUCAUUAUAUAUGUUUGCCAUUUAUCUUUAAGGAGUACACAGUAAGGAUUAUCUCAAUUAUUUUUGGUCACAUGAUCAACACCAUGAAAAUUUGGUCAAAAAAAGUUAUUCUGAUUUUGAAAAAUGUAUGAUAUCUUCACAUUGAGCUUACAGUUAAGUGUCCUUUUAAUUUAAAAGAAAUAAAGUUAUUUUUUCAUCUU
This 4178-nucleotide unclassified non-coding RNA is filed under the name Penaeus japonicus. RNAcentral describes it as "enhancer of mRNA-decapping protein 3-like, transcript variant X1". Lineage: Eukaryota; Metazoa; Arthropoda; Malacostraca; Decapoda; Penaeidae. The record is from RNAcentral.